UCUUUAGUUUAAAUUGACUUGACCCUCCCUCCACCAGUGAUACAUUUUGGUUGACCCUCCCAAAUGAUUGGGAAAAAAGGGAUAACCCUCCCCAAUAUUACAUUGGAGCCUUCUAUACGGGUUUGCACUUGGCAAAGAUGUACGAAUGUCCAUUGUUUUUAAACAGCCAUGACAUGCGUAACCAAACCUCUGCAUUCUGAUCUUACGCACCACACUCCACUGUUAUGGUGUGGUGGUCAUUUCAGUAGAUUUACUCACUAACAUUGUUAUGGAAACACAAUAAGCAUGGAAAUUAAAUGCACACUUACUGCAUUA
Sander lucioperca (pikeperch) is the source of this 315-nucleotide long non-coding RNA. RefSeq lists it as uncharacterized. The transcript is spliced from 3 exons. The record is from RefSeq and is a predicted model, not a curated record. NCBI's taxonomy places the organism in Eukaryota, Metazoa, Chordata, Actinopteri, Perciformes, Percidae.